This 415-nucleotide non-coding RNA is filed under the name Gordonia rhizosphera NBRC 16068. Its description in RNAcentral is "Bacterial large subunit ribosomal RNA". It matches the Rfam family "Bacterial large subunit ribosomal RNA", at positions 2513 to 2925 of the family's 2925-position model. The record is from Rfam by way of RNAcentral. Lineage: Bacteria; Bacillati; Actinomycetota; Actinomycetes; Mycobacteriales; Gordoniaceae.
AUGGUUUGGCACCUCGAUGUCGGCUCGUCGCAUCCUGGGGCUGGAGUAGGUCCCAAGGGUUGGGCUGUUCGCCCAUUAAAGCGGCACGCGAGCUGGGUUUAGAACGUCGUGAGACAGUUCGGUCUCUAUCCGCCGCGCGCGUCAGAAACUUGAGGAAACCUGUCCCUAGUACGAGAGGACCGGGACGGACGAACCUCUGGUGUGCCAGUUGUCCCGCCAGGGGCACCGCUGGUUAGCUACGUUCGGAAGGGAUAACCGCUGAAAGCAUCUAAGCGGGAAGCCUGUUCCAAGAUGAGGUUUCUCACCCCCAUUGCGGGGUUAAGGCCCCCCACAGACCAUGGGGUUGAUAGGCCAGAACUGUACGCCUAGUAAUAGGUUCAGGUGACUGGUACUAAUCGGCCGAGGACUUACCAAC